RNAcentral lists this unclassified non-coding RNA (227 nucleotides) under Hevea brasiliensis (rubber tree). The record is from RNAcentral. Lineage: Eukaryota; Viridiplantae; Streptophyta; Magnoliopsida; Malpighiales; Euphorbiaceae.
UCCAAACUCUGUGCAAAUCAUCGCCUAGAUUAUGUAUGUUCUUAACAAUAGGUGCGCGGAGCUUUCAUACAAGUAGAAAUACUGAGGUUAAGUAUCAACUAGAAUAGAAGCUCAAGUAACAGGCAAAAAUUUGGAGCAACCCCAAAAAUACUCUCAAAACAAAGUUUCAAGAAGCGUUCUAAAGGCUCUCAAAAAAUUAAAAAAAAAAAAGUUUCAGCAAUUAUUCU